RNAcentral lists this ribosomal RNA (433 nucleotides) under uncultured bacterium. RNAcentral's name for it is "bacterial SSU rRNA". It matches the Rfam family "Bacterial small subunit ribosomal RNA", at positions 957 to 1391 of the family's 1533-position model. The record is from RNAcentral.
GAACGCGAAGAACCUUACCAAGUCUUGACAUCCUUUGACCACUCUAGAGAUAGAGCUUUCCCUUCGGGGACAAAGUGACAGGUGGUGCAUGGUUGUCGUCAGCUCGUGUCGUGAGAUGUUGGGUUAAGUCCCGCAACGAGCGCAACCCUUAUUACUAGUUGCCAGCAUUGAGUUGGGCACUCUAGUGAGACUGCCGGUGACAAACCGGAGGAAGGUGGGGAUGACGUCAAAUCAUCAUGCCCCUUAUGACUUGGGCUACACACGUGCUACAAUGGAUGGUACAACGAGCAGCGAACUCGCGAGGGUAAGCGAAUCCCUUAAAGCCAUUCUCAGUUCGGAUUGUAGGCUGCAACUCGCCUACAUGAAGCCGGAAUCGCUAGUAAUCGCGGAUCAGCACGCCGCGGUGAAUACGUUCCCGGGUCUUGUACACACC